CUAGAACACCUGUACCGGGCACCUCUCACUUUACAAGUCUUGCAUCUGAUCCUUUAAGGUAUUUUAAUGCAUCGGUAAACAUGGGUGGAGUUUCAAGGAAGUUGACAUCAGUGGACCUAAUCUUCAAAUCGAAAGUAUUCUAGACAUUUCAAACUGCGUCACACUACCAGAAGAGAACAUAUUAUUAUGGUGUUGCAGAAAGAGGUAACUUUAAAGAGUGACAACAAUGGAAACAUCUACACCUAGCGAGCUGUCUAUGGAGAGUAAGAAGUCAAUGUGUCAAGUCUUCAUGUGGAGAAGCAAACAAGGAGCAUCAUCCCAUAUACCCAGCAUCCGGAUUUUCGAGGUAGAAGAUGACCUCUGCGGAAAUCCUGUCAUUAUCAAGCCUGCUGUUCAGGUUUACAGUUUGGAACCACAACUCCCUUAUUUCACGGGAAGAUCAAAGUCAAUGGAGGAAAGGAGCAACUUCUGAAGUUCUCCUUUCAUGUCCAGAUUUUGACAGAGCAUGCACUGUUAAUUCAUAAAAAAAAAAAAAAAUAACCCAGCUGCUUGCUUUUGGGAGAGUGACUCAUCAGUGGAGCUACAAGAUGUCUUGUCAAGGAAUUACAAGUGCAUGAAAAUGUCAAAAAUGGGGAUUUACAUGUAGCAUAAUUUACAGUAUGUUGUUAUAAGUCAUGUAUUUUUAGGGUUGCUUGCUAUGGAGGUUAGACAUAGUUUAAUGGAUAGCCUAUUGAUAGACAAACAGUUUGUGAAUUUGUGUUGAUAGACAGUUUAAAGCGACACUAAAGCACUUUUCCUCUGUCGUACGCACGCGAUUAGUUUAUCCAGCAAAUAGCAAUGUCCACAGACAAGGUAGAGUAUGUUGCAUGAUUUUGUCAUUUUUGUGAAAGUAUGAUGUGUUGCGACAUCAAGGCAAGUCAAAUUUGUAGUUUCUUAUGUCUCGUCUCAUCGAACUACAGGUAUGCUACCUGAUCUGGUAAAGUUACAUAAUGUGCUGUUAUAGCCGAUAGAGGGCCGCAAAGUGAAUGCAGAAGUGCCGUUCACCCUGUUACGAGUUGAUGAACUGCUGAAAUUAUUUUGGAAACAUUAUUUUAAGGUAUGAAGAACUCUUUAGUGUUUUCCUUCAGUGCGACCUGUUUGUACAUACCAUCCCGAUGUUUUUACGCGCACAUUGCGCCUGAAAUGAGCGCAAAAACGUUAGUAUCUGGCCCUCAGUGUUUUACAAUGCAAAAAAAAGGUCAGAACUCGGUGACACUACCAGAAAAUGCUCAAGACAGCACUAUACACUACUUGUGUAUACAGUAGUUAAUAUACUGUAGGCUACAUCUCAUCUGUGAACUGAACUAUUGCUGUUUAGAAUGUAUACACUUUAUAGACAUAUCUUUCAUGUCAUUACACUGUAUUGGUUUUGUGCAAGUUGAAUUUAAUGCCUGUCACUUCAAUAGCAUGUCAAAAAAUUAAACAUGCUAAACGUUCUUUUUUUCCUUUGGAAAUAUUGUUACCAAUAUUUUUAUUGUUAAAACUGGUAGCCUAUCAUUUUUUGGUUUCACAUUUGCUUUUUGCCAACAUGAGAAAAGCUGUCGAACAUUAACUGACAUAUUAUUGCAUUAAAGGAACUGUGAAAUGAAA
Sardina pilchardus (European sardine) is the source of this 1629-nucleotide long non-coding RNA. RefSeq lists it as uncharacterized. NCBI's taxonomy places the organism in Eukaryota, Metazoa, Chordata, Actinopteri, Clupeiformes, Clupeidae. The record is from RefSeq and is a predicted model, not a curated record. The transcript is spliced from 5 exons.